This 492-nucleotide ribosomal RNA is filed under the name uncultured bacterium. RNAcentral's name for it is "partial 16S ribosomal RNA". It matches the Rfam family "Bacterial small subunit ribosomal RNA", at positions 28 to 523 of the family's 1533-position model. The record is from RNAcentral.
GACGAACGCUGGCAGCGUGCUUAACACAUGCUAGUCGAACGCUGAAACCCUGGUGCUUGCACCGGGGUGGAUGAGUGGCGAACGGGUGAGUAACACGUGAGUAACCUGCCCCCGACUUCGGGAUAAGCCCGGGAAACUGGGUCUAAUACCGGAUAUGAGCGCCCCUCGCAUGAGGGAUGCUGGAAAGUCUUUUCGGUUGGGGAUGGGCUCGCGGCCUAUCAGUUUGUUGGUGAGGUAAUGGCUCACCAAGACGACGACGGGUAGCCGGCCUGGGAGGGCGACCGGCCACACUGGGACUGAGACACGGCCCAGACUCCUACGGGAGGCAGCAGUGGGGAAUAUUGCACAAUGGGGGAAACCCUGAUGCAGCGACGCAGCGUGCGGGAUGACGGCCUUCGGGUUGUAAACCGCUUUCAGCAGGGAAGAAGCCCCUUGGGGUGACGGUACCUGCAGAAGAAGUACCGGCUAACUACGUGCCAGCCGCCGCCGUAA